CCUACGGGAGGCAGCAGUAAGGAAUAUUGGUCAAUGGAGGCAACUCUGAACCAGCCAUGCCGCGUGCAGGAUGACGGCCCUAUGGGUUGUAAACUGCUUUUGUACCAGAGAAAACCUACUCACGUGUGAGUAGCUGAUAGUAUGGUAAGAAUAAGCAUCGGCUAACUUCGUGCCAGCAGCCGCGGUAAGACGAAGGAUGCAAGCGUUAUCCGGAUUCAUUGGGUUUAAAGGGUGCGUAGGCGGACUUGUAAGUCAGUGGUGAAAUCUCUUCGCUUAACGAAGAAACUGCCAUUGAUACUGCAGGUCUAGAGUAUAGAUGACGUUGGCGGAAUAUGACAUGUAGUGGUGAAAUACUUAGAUAUGUCAUAGAACACCGAUUGCGAAGGCAGCUAACGAAACUAUAACUGACGCUGAGGCACGAAAGUNCGGGGAUCAAACAGGAUUAGAUACCCUGGUAGUCCGCACCGUAAACGAUGAUUACUCGUUGUUGGCGAUAUGACAGUCAGCGACCGAACGACGAACGACGAGUAAGUAAAGUACCACCCGUACGGGAGGUACGGCCGGCCGACCGGUACGGAACGUACGAAAGAAGUUAAGUUAGACGGCGAGGAGAGCGACGGACGACGACGACGGAGGGAGGAG
RNAcentral lists this ribosomal RNA (642 nucleotides) under uncultured bacterium. RNAcentral's name for it is "bacterial SSU rRNA". The stretch from base 1 to 544 matches the Rfam family "Bacterial small subunit ribosomal RNA", at positions 338 to 873 of the family's 1533-position model. The record is from RNAcentral.